This 403-nucleotide ribosomal RNA is filed under the name uncultured bacterium. RNAcentral's name for it is "bacterial SSU rRNA". It matches the Rfam family "Bacterial small subunit ribosomal RNA", at positions 355 to 776 of the family's 1533-position model. The record is from RNAcentral.
UGGGGAAUAUUGCACAAUGGGCGAAAGCCUGAUGCAGCAACGCCGCGUGAGCGAAGAAGGCCUUUGGGUCGUAAAGCUCUGUCGAGAAGGAAGAUAAUGACGGUACUUCUCGAGGAAGCCCCGGCUAACUACGUGCCAGCAGCCGCGGUAAUACGUAGGGGGCGAGCGUUAUCCGGAAUUAUUGGGCGUAAAGAGUGCGUAGGUGGUUGUUUAAGCGUGGGGUGAAAGGCAAUAGCUCAACUAUUGUAAGCCCCGCGAACUGGGCGACUUGAGUGCAGGAGAGGAAAGCGGAAUUCCUAGUGUAGCGGUGAAAUGCGUAGAUAUUAGGAGGAACACCAGUGGCGAAGGCGGCUUUCUGGACUGUAACUGACACUGAGGCACGAAAGCGUGGGGAGCAAACAGG